CGGGUGUAGUUCAAUGGUAGAACCUCAGCUUCCCAAGCUGAUGACGAGGGUUCGAUUCCCUUCACCC
This 67-nucleotide transfer RNA is filed under the name marine eukaryotic metagenome. It matches the Rfam family "tRNA". From Rfam's summary of the family: Transfer RNA (tRNA) molecules are approximately 80 nucleotides in length. Their secondary structure includes four short double-helical elements and three loops (D, anti-codon, and T loops). Further hydrogen bonds mediate the characteristic L-shaped molecular structure. tRNAs have two regions of fundamental functional importance: the anti-codon, which is responsible for specific mRNA codon recognition, and the 3' end, to which the tRNAs corresponding amino acid is attached (by aminoacyl-tRNA synthetases). tRNAs cope with the degeneracy of the genetic code in two manners: having more than one tRNA (with a specific anti-codon) for a particular amino acid; and 'wobble' base-pairing, i.e. permitting non-standard base-pairing at the 3rd anti-codon position. The record is from RNAcentral.